Molecule: ribosomal RNA, 118 nt
Filed under: Pteropus alecto (black flying fox)
Lineage: Eukaryota; Metazoa; Chordata; Mammalia; Chiroptera; Pteropodidae
Source: RNAcentral
GUCUAUGGCCAUGCUACCCUGAGCAAGCUGGAUCCCAUCUGGUCUCGGAAGCUAAGCAGGGUCGGGCCUGGUUAGUACUUGGAUGGGAGACCACAUGGAAGACCAAGUGCUGUAAGCG